CCUACGGGCGGCUGCAGUGGGGAAUAUUGGACAAUGGGGGCAACCCUGAUCCAGCCAUGCCGCGUGUGUGAAGAAGGCCCUCGGGUUGUAAAGCACUUUCAGUGAGGAAGAACGCCUGGUGGUUAAUACCCAUCAGGAAAGACAUCACUCACAGAAGAAGCACCGGCUAACUCCGUGCCAGCAGCCGCGGUAAUACGGAGGGUGCGAGCGUUAAUCGGAAUUACUGGGCGUAAAGCGCGCGUAGGUGGCUUGAUAAGCCGGUUGUGAAAGCCCCGGGCUCAACCUGGGAACGACAUCCGGAACUGUCAAGCUAGAGUGCAGGAGAGGAAGGUAGAAUUCCCGGUGUAGCGGUGAAAUGCGUAGAGAUCGGGAGGAAUACCAGUGGCGAAGGCGGCCUUCUGGACUGACACUGACACUGAGGUGCGAAAGCGUGGGUAGCAAACAGGAUUAGAUACCCCGGUAGUC
RNAcentral lists this ribosomal RNA (465 nucleotides) under Vreelandella stevensii. RNAcentral describes it as "partial 16S ribosomal RNA". It matches the Rfam family "Bacterial small subunit ribosomal RNA", at positions 338 to 795 of the family's 1533-position model. Lineage: Bacteria; Pseudomonadati; Pseudomonadota; Gammaproteobacteria; Oceanospirillales; Halomonadaceae. The record is from RNAcentral.